This 1249-nucleotide ribosomal RNA is filed under the name Triticum aestivum (bread wheat). Its description in RNAcentral is "partial small subunit ribosomal RNA". Lineage: Eukaryota; Viridiplantae; Streptophyta; Magnoliopsida; Poales; Poaceae. The record is from RNAcentral.
AUGGAACAGACUGCUUUGCAUUCGUUGACCUGCAACUUCAAGCUCCGCCUUUCCAAUCCCUGCUCUUGCCCUCCGUCUCUUCACCUCAGCUCUUGCAGGUUGCAGCAGAGGCGACCAAUGGCGCAGGACGACCCGGUUGUCUCUGCACAGUGGCUGCAGCAGCACCUAGGGCAGCCCGACAUCAAGAUACUGGAUGCUUCCUGGUACAUGCCACACGAGAGCAGGGACGCAUGGCAAGAAUACCAGGUGGCUCAUAUUCCUGGCGCGCUGUACUUCGACAUCGAUGGAAUUUCUGAUCGGACGACUCAUUUGCCACACAUGCUGCCAUCGGAAGAGGCAUUUGCAGCAGCAGUUUCUGCACUUGGAAUCAGCAACCAUGAUAAGGUUAUUGUUUAUGAUGGGAAGGGGUUCUACAGCGUGCCUCGUGUUUGGUGGAUGUUCAGAAUUCUUGGACAUGAUAAAGUUUGGGUCUUAGAUGGAGGUUUCCCUCAGUGGCAAGCUUCUGGAUUCAAUAUUGGAAGCAGCUGCCCUCAUGAUGCAGUUCUGAAAUCCAAAGCUGCUAAUAGUGCUGUUGAAACAACUUACAAUGGUGAACUGGCAAAUGCUGCCACAUUUCAGACAGAGUUUCGACAUCAGCUAUUGUGGACACUAGAAAAGGUCAAACACAAUGUAGCUGCUAAGGCUCACCAAGUAGUUGAUGCCCGAGUAAAGGGCAGAUUUGAUGGUCUGAUGCCAGAACCAAGGGAAGGAGUAAGAAGUGGGCAUAUACCUGGAACUGUAUGUGUUCCGUUCCCUGAGAUGUCUGAUGGUGCACAAACGCUCCUCCCCGCAGAUGAGCUAUCUAAAAAGUUUGAGCAAGCAGGCAUUUCCCUUGAUGGCCCGAUUGUCCUCACAUGUGCAUCUGGUGUAACUGCCUGCAUACUUGCCCUGGCGCUCUAUAGAAUUGGGAAGCAUGACGUUCCGGUUUACGAUGGAUCUUGGACAGAAUGGGAAGCUCUGCCAGAUGAUGAUUACCCAAUAGUUACUUCCACUGGCUCUUAAAACGAUCAUUCUGAGGUGAUGAAUGCAGGUGUUACAUCCUGCGGGCAUUCAGCACAGAUUGUCAGCGCAAUGAUAUUUCUCUGUGGCAAGCUUUGCACCAACGUCAAUACAAAGCCCGAGGAAAUCAAAUCGAACAUUUCAAAAGGUCCACUCUGUGACCAUGAGGAUGAAACCAUCUCACAUUUGCUCACUGGCUGCAUUUAAAGGG